CCCCCUGUCACGCUUCCUGGUUUCAAAAGGAUUUCUCCUAGUAGUACAAGUUAAGGACAGUUCUUAGAAGGGCUGUGUGCGCAUAAUGUGGUUCAAGAUUCACAGCCAUGAUACAAUAUGCUAAAAGUUCAAUGACAACAAAUGUUAGGCCUGUACAGAUUAAUCCUUAGGCACAAAGCAAGUUUAAGCAAUACCACAUCCACGCUGCAGCCAUUUUCGUCUGAUGUCACGCUCCAGGCGGGAAGCUCAAACGUUGGGACGCCAUGGAACUUUUGAGCUCCAGGUUGUCAGGGACCCAAACUUUGUUAUCUGACGGAUUGCUAUCAUUUCACCGCCUCCCAGCUGAUCAGCGGCAGAAUAAACGGUGGACAGUAAACACAUCAUUCCAUAUUUUAAGAUAACACCCAACACCAAGGUGUUUUGCAAGCACUUCAGCAGUGAAUGUUUAGUGCCAGCUCCCAGGAGGUAUCCUCCAGCAGUUUGUGUGGGUGGCUUGGUGGUGGAUAAAGAUACAGGAAGAAGGUGAGCCUCUGUGGUGAAGAUGUAGUCAUCGAUAUCUAUGGGAAGCUCACUCUUCUCCGAAAACAGCAGGUAGAGGUAUUUAAACAUCUCAGCCAGAAAAAACGAGUCCAUCCUACACACAAGUAUAAACAUGCAUAUACAGAGAAAAAUGUGUUAUUAAGCAUUCAUGGAAGAUACAAGUAUUUUUUAGUUGCACUAUAACAGUUAUUUUAUCAUCAGACAGGUUUUAGCAGACUAGUUUUAAAUAAUAUCAGUGUAGACCUGUCUCGCAGCGUUUUUAUACCUGUCCUCAUGCAUCCCUGUUCGAACAUCUUGCACAGCAGCAAACCCGCAAGGCACCCUGGCAUAGGCAUUGAGCUUUUCCACAAUGGACUGUCCCACUCUGAGGUAGUAGGGGUCGCCAGUGGCCUGCAGAGAUAAAGAUAAUAUCUCAACCACACAUCUCACAUGGAACAUUCAGUUUGCUCAGUGUAAUGGUGGUGUCGCAUCAAUAAUUAGCCUACUUAUAAAUGACCUGGAGUGUCGUAUUUUUAGAAAAAGGGAAUUACAGUGUGUGCCUUUUGGUUUUUCACCUUAUAGAGGUAGUAGGUGCUUUCCGCAAACUCUGGUCUCAGUAGGUGUUGGCCCCAAUGAACUCUAAACUCUGUAGUGAAAGCCUGCAGGGAGUUUAAUCAAAGACGAGAUGAUGAGAUGAGAUGAGAAACAAUAAAUACUUUAUCUUGCCAACACACGCCUACUUUAUGUAACUGAAGACAGCA
This is a long non-coding RNA of Scatophagus argus, 1280 nucleotides long. RefSeq lists it as uncharacterized. The transcript is spliced from 3 exons. The record is from RefSeq and is a predicted model, not a curated record. Lineage: Eukaryota; Metazoa; Chordata; Actinopteri; Scatophagidae.